RNAcentral lists this ribosomal RNA (357 nucleotides) under uncultured bacterium. RNAcentral describes it as "bacterial SSU rRNA". It matches the Rfam family "Bacterial small subunit ribosomal RNA", at positions 29 to 412 of the family's 1533-position model. The record is from RNAcentral.
AACGAACGCUGGCGGCAUGCCUAACACAUGCAAGUCGAACGAGACCUUCGGGUCUAGUGGCGCACGGGUGCGUAACACGUGGGAAUUUGCCUCGGGGUAUGGAAUAACUCAGGGAAACUUGAGCUAAUACCAUAUAAUGUCUUCGGACCAAAGAUUUAUCGCCCUGAGAUAAGCCCGCGUAGGAUUAGCUAGUUGGUGAGGUAAAGGCUCACCAAGGCGACGAUCCUUAGCUGGUCUGAGAGGAUGAUCAGCCACACUGGGACUGAGACACGGCCCAGACUCCUACGGGAGGCAGCAGUGGGGAAUCUUAGACAAUGGGGGGAAACCCUGAUCUAGCCAUGCCGCGUGAUCGAUGAA